Molecule: ribosomal RNA, 515 nt
Filed under: uncultured bacterium
Lineage: Bacteria
Description: bacterial SSU rRNA
Rfam family: Bacterial small subunit ribosomal RNA
Source: RNAcentral
UAGUCCACGCCGUAAACGAUGUCAACUAGCCGUCGGGCUCAUUAUAAGGGUUUGGUGGCGCAGCUAACGCGAUAAGUUGACCGCCUGGGGAGUACGCCGGCAACGGUAAAACUCAAAGGAAUUGACGGGGGGCCCGCACAAGCGGUGGAGCAUGUGGUUUAAUUCGAUGCAACGCGAAGAACCUUACCUACCCUUGACAUCCUCAGAACUUGUUAGAGAUAACUUGGUGCCUUCGGGAAUUGAGUGACAGGUGCUGCAUGGCUGUCGUCAGCUCGUGUCGUGAGAUGUUGGGUUAAGUCCCGCAACGAGCGCAACCCUUUUCGUUAGUUGCCAGCAUGUUAUGAUGGGGGACUCUAGCGAUACUGCCGGCGUAAGCCGAGAGGAAGGUGGGGACGACGUCAAAUCAUCAUGGCCUUUAUGCCUAGGGCGACACACGUGCUACAAUGGACAGGACAAUGGGUAGCCAACCCGCGAGGGGGAGCCGAAUCUCUAAAGCCUGUUCUCAGUUCGGAGUU